UGACAGCCUGUGAAGCUGAUGGAGGCUCGU
RNAcentral lists this non-coding RNA (30 nucleotides) under Mus musculus (house mouse). The record is from RNAcentral. Lineage: Eukaryota; Metazoa; Chordata; Mammalia; Rodentia; Muridae.